CACAUUUUCCAUCAAGGCUUAUGCAGUGGGAAAUAAAUUCCCUUAACUUAAGGGGGUGGGGAGGGGGGAGGGGGACGCGGUAAAUACUGGGCAGUAAAAGAGGGGAAAAAAGGGAUAAAUAGCCAUUGCUGUUAUUUAACCUGAAGGAAAUGGUGAUCUGAGCACAUGCCAUCCAUCCAGUUCUUCAGCCAUUCCAAAAAGCACUUCUUAUAUGGAUUAGGAAGUUCAGCGCUGACGUUCAAUCACAGGCGCUAUAAUCACCUGGAGCCCUGAGUCUCAAAAUGUUCCCCAGAGAGCCGGAGGGCCUCAUGGAAGCGUCCGGGCGAUGGGCAAGCCAGGGGCCUCUGCUCCUUCUCGCCCUGCUGACUAGGAGGCAGGAAUCCUGACUGUUUACAUCUGUGGGGUCCACCGAGGACCACAUCUGACUAAAAGCCCCCAUGGACAAUCUUGGAAAGAGAGGGAUAACAUGAAAUGUCUAUUACUGCCUCGUUGAAGAUACCAUGUUCUCUGUAAGAACACAGUUUUGAAAGUCAAAUACAGAUGACGAGGUGCACACUGACCAUUCAGAAGCAGAGUCGGUCCCGUGUUUCACUGCAGCGACUCAGGGCGUGAGUGAGGACAUUCUCUCCAUUUCAUCCACUGACCAGGGGUAAAGGUCAGCGGUUGCAGCAACAGGAGCUUCAAGGUGCUUCUAUUGACGUCACCUCAUUGUUCCUCACAACAAGUCUGAGACGUCUAGAUAGAUGUGAUCGUUACUUCACUUCAGGUGAAGACGCUGAAAGUCAAAGAUAAACUCAGACCAACUCAAACUGUGUAGGUAGAAAAUGUCAGAGCUGAGCGUGGAACCCUGGUCUUCAACCUGUUUCAGGAGGGAAACACUCUGAGUAGACUCAGGCGCAGCUGCCUGGCCCUGGAGGAAUUGUGUACAUGGGACCCUGGGAGCUAUGGGUGGUGGAGGGGUGGGCGAGGACCAUCCCUAGGCCCACCAGCUGGCAGCUUUUGCAGGACAUGGGGGCUCACCCUUUGCCUGGCUCUUGCCUCUACUGCUAGAGUGUUUCAAGCACAAGGAUAGUAAGACUGAGAUCAAACUUUUAGAUGAGGCAGCAAAAAGGCAGAAAGUUUGCAAACACAGAAGCCUUAAUCAAAUUGACGCAUUGUGGGCAGGAACCAGGUCUCUCAGUCUGAAGGGUGUGCCAAGGGUCCAGGUCACAGACUGGAGCAGGACGGUCAACUAAAGUCAGGGAGAGCCCCUGGCGGGCUGGGUUGCCUGUUGUUAUUCCACUGACCUCCAUCCUUGUUCCCUGUAGAGUUCCAUCAUACACGACUCUCCACGGGAAGCUCAUGUUCCCCAGUAAUCCCCAAACUCGGAUGGCUUAUUCCAGACUCCAAGCCCUGCUCAUUCUCUUCCCAUUCCCUUCACUUAUCCAGAGCCCAACCAUCUAUGAAAUGAUGUGAAUAUGGAACUGCUCUUUCCCUUCUGCUUUUGGAAUAGUCUGCCAAGGGUGAAAUCUUUGUGAUAGGUGAUGCUGAAGCCCCCAAAUUCCAUUACUAGGUCCUACAAAACCCAGGUCCUGCUACGAGAAUGUGAAAUCUGUUCUGCCCAUCACCCUCCUCCUAUCUACAGAGAAGUGGAGUUGAAGUGAGGAGGAGGGAGAAUUCCUUUGGAGUACCUUCCAGAUGUGGAGGAGAGAACAGCAGCACAGGGCACCUCUCUGCAAAUGCCAAAGGUCUCCAAAAGGCCACUUUGAGGGACGAUGAAUUUGCUCUUGUAGACAUCCUCUGGUGUCUAAUUCAUAGUGUUUAUUGAAAAAAGUUUUCAGGAAAGAAAUGAAAAAGGAAACAGACG
RNAcentral lists this long non-coding RNA (1846 nucleotides) under Equus caballus (horse). Its description in RNAcentral is "lncRNA (ENSECAG00000052931.1)". The record is from RNAcentral. Lineage: Eukaryota; Metazoa; Chordata; Mammalia; Perissodactyla; Equidae.